UCCAGGACUACAAAUCUUCCUAAAACCUAAUAUUUAUCGCUGGUAUCAUCUAUGUAUGAAGGGGUGAAAGGAGACAAAAUAAAACAGAGAGAAAUAAAUCAGAUUUUUUUUUUAUCAAUUCUUCAUUAUCUGCUGUUUCUUUUAUUGAACUAUAGAUUGUUUUAUCAGAUUUAUCCUAUUUAUUGUGAAAGUGAUUUGAUUUCUAGGAUUUAGUAUUAUAUUGGCGAGAUUUGAAUAUUUUUCUUAGAACUUUUGAUUGAUUUGAAAAAGCAGAUAACCCUCUCAUUGCAUGUUCAGAAUCUCUUUGUCAAGAAAAGAUUUAGGCAGAGACAAAAAUUAAGCUGAGAUGUAACAUACCUAGAGUGCAGUUUUCAUGGCUCUCAACCAUGUAUUGUGAAAGGAAUCAUCAAAGAUUUGACCUUUUAAACUAUGCCAAUAACUCAGAGAAAGAUAAUUAAUGUGACCAUACUGUGUAAAGUCUGUUAAAGAUCAUUGAUUAAUCAGAUUUUUAUUAACAAUGAUACUUGUUCUGACUUCAAAUCUGUGUGUCUCUUUGCUUAGGAAAAAAACCCUUCAAGAAACAAUUAUUUUUUCUUUCAACCAAAUACAGGGAAAGAGAAUUCAUGUGACCAUACUGUGUAAAGUCUGUUAAAGAUCAUGGAUUCAUCAGAUUUUUAUUAAAAAUUGUAAUGUUUUUCACCAAAGACUAUGUUCUGCUCCUCCCAUCUUUGAAUUUGGGUAUCCCGUGAAUUUGCUGUUUUCAGAUAUCUGAUUAACAAUGAUGCUUGAUGAAAAUAUACACUUACAAACGUGAUUUAGGAGGUGUAAAGGUCACAAUCAGAGAGAAAUGAAGGAAUUUGCUCUGCUAUUUGCUGAAUUAUCAUCUCUCUUGCACAUAGAAAUCCAUGAUUUAACUCAUACCAUUCAUAUCACCUGGCUCAUCAAUGAGUAUGAGUUGCUAUAGUGUGUAAGAAUUGUCUGCAGUGUAAGUGUUCAUGGCUGAGUUAAUAUUGUGUUGGUAAAUGAUUUUUGAGAGGCAUAUAUAUACACAAUAUCAAUGGAGGAAGGAAGCAUAUAGAAAAUGUCUCACAGAAGUUAUGCUAUAUGUAUCAUUUUUUAUUAAAGCAUGUUCAAGAUUGGAUCAAGUGAUGAUUAUGUUAUUUUUGCCGUGGUUAAUGAUUCUCAUACCAUUUUUGGUUGUUUAUAACUAUAAAUAAA
RNAcentral lists this long non-coding RNA (1218 nucleotides) under Phaseolus vulgaris (common bean). RNAcentral describes it as "long non-coding RNA (PVUL_LNC001109)". The record is from RNAcentral. Lineage: Eukaryota; Viridiplantae; Streptophyta; Magnoliopsida; Fabales; Fabaceae.